AUCUGGCUUAGUUAGGAGGCAAACAUAAAUUAUGAUCAUUCAGUACUUUUCUGUAUUGUUUUUGGUCGUUUGAGGCUUUCUUUUUUGUUUCUUUUGAGGAGGAGCAAUUGAAUUAUCUUCAAUUGCAAGCUUCUUCUUACCAAAAAGCUUCAGACAUUA
Molecule: small nucleolar RNA, 159 nt
Filed under: Brassica napus (rape)
Lineage: Eukaryota; Viridiplantae; Streptophyta; Magnoliopsida; Brassicales; Brassicaceae
Description: Small nucleolar RNA U19
Rfam family: Small nucleolar RNA U19
Source: Rfam by way of RNAcentral